Molecule: transfer RNA, 63 nt
Filed under: Nicotiana sylvestris (wood tobacco)
Lineage: Eukaryota; Viridiplantae; Streptophyta; Magnoliopsida; Solanales; Solanaceae
Rfam family: tRNA
About the family: Transfer RNA (tRNA) molecules are approximately 80 nucleotides in length. Their secondary structure includes four short double-helical elements and three loops (D, anti-codon, and T loops).
Source: Rfam by way of RNAcentral
UGUAGCUCAGUUGGUUAGAGUGUGUGGCUGUUAACCACAAGGUCGAAUGUUCAAUCCCUUCCA